This 385-nucleotide long non-coding RNA is filed under the name Gossypium raimondii (Peruvian cotton). Its description in RNAcentral is "long non-coding RNA (GRAI_LNC002676)". The record is from RNAcentral. Lineage: Eukaryota; Viridiplantae; Streptophyta; Magnoliopsida; Malvales; Malvaceae.
AACUCAGUUUUAAAAGAAAUAUCAGAUUGUUAGUGGAUGGAAUAAUGCGAGGUUCGUGAUAACAGAAUUAGUGAGAGAAAUGACAAUUAAGUGGUAAAGAUGCCUGUGUGUGACGAUUACAAUCGAAACGAACACGAUGAUCUUUUCUGGAUAUUCUAUAUAUUCUUUUAUCCUCAGAAAUAUGUGUAUAAUUGUUCAGUUUUGAUAAAGUUCUUAUGUUGUGAGAAUGUUAGCUAACUAUGAUGUUAGACGAAAGUCUUGUUGGUCUAGUUGGUUUAUGACCGGUUAUUGUUCUGUUUUGCAUGCAUAUUUAGAAAGUGUAUUGUUUUGCUACGAUGAAAUUCCAGAGCUAAAAUGUGGUGAUUCAGGUGAUUUGCAUGCUAAA